UACGUAGGGGGCAAGCGUUGUCCGGAUUUAUUGGGCGUAAAGCGCGUGUAGGCGGCCUCGCAGGUCCGCUGUGAAAACUCGAGGCUCAACCUCGAGCUGUCGGUGGAAACCGCGUGGCUAGAGUCCGGAAGAGGGGACUGGAAUUCCCGGUGUAGCGGUGGAAUGCGCAGAUAUCGGGAGGAACACCCGUGGCGAAGGCGGGUCCCUGGGCCGAACCUGACGCUGAGGCGCGAAGGCUAGGGGAGCGAACGGG
RNAcentral lists this ribosomal RNA (253 nucleotides) under uncultured bacterium. Its description in RNAcentral is "partial 16S ribosomal RNA". It matches the Rfam family "Bacterial small subunit ribosomal RNA", at positions 524 to 776 of the family's 1533-position model. The record is from RNAcentral.